GCAACCAGCUCCUUAUCAAGCAUCUCCCAUGGCAGCAUGACACCAGAACAGACAACAAGUCAGUUAACGACAAGUUCUCCCUCAGUCUUUCUGACGUCUCCAUCCAGUUCUAGUCUCCCUACAGAGACAUCAGCAGCACAAACAUCUCCUAACAUCACUCUAGCAGCCACUUUGUCUUCAAUCACACCCUCCCAUGUCAGUACAACCACAAAAUGGAUCACUGGUCAGUUGGCAACAGGUACCACCCCUACCUCUUUUCAGUCCCCCUUCCAUCGUAGUUAUAUGAGUGAAUCAAUUACAGAAACAUCACCUCCUUACCUCAGCCACGUCACCAAUGUAUAUGCAACUACUACUCCUGUUUCGGACACCAUCUUCUAUGAGAGAUCUACAGUUGGGCAGGCAUUGAGUCAAUCCACAGAAAUCUCCCUAGAGAACACACCCAAAGCCCAGACAGCUGAAACUUUCCGUGCUACUGGGGGCACUUUAGUCCAGUCCACAAAGGACUCUUCUACCUCCCAAUUUACAGGAACUUUUGGUGAAGUUGGAACCAUGAGCUCAGAUGCUCUAGUGACAAACACACACAGCUUAGGCACGAUGGGGGGACCCACUUCCUCACCCACCAAACCAACUUCAUCUUGGAUUUCAUCUCAACAGGCAUCCAGUUGGCCAACCUUCUCAACUUCUUCCAUAUCCCCCUCUGGUUCUCUCCCUGACACUCAGACAAUGGAAACAUCUCUUCCUCAUUUGAGAACCGAGGUCACUGAAAGAGCAACCAGCUCUUUAUCAAGCAACUCCCAUGGCAGCACGACAUCAGAACAGUCAACAAGUCAGUUAACAACAGGCACUUCCUCAGUCUCUUUCACCUCUCCAUCCAGUUCUAGUCUCCCUAAAGAGACAUCAACAGCACAAGCAUCUCCUAAUUUCAGUACUUAUAUACCUCUAGGAGCAACCUCAGCUUCAUUCUCAACCUCCAAUGUAAUCACCACCACAGAACAGGAAACAGAUCAGUGGAGAACCGACACCACCCCAAAGUCUUCAAAAUUUCCACUGAGUUUUAGACGAACGACUGAAACAAAAACAGAAAUAUCAUCUCCUCAUCUCGGCCAUGUCACCACUGUGCCCACAACUGCAACUCCUGUUUCAGAUACCAUCUUCUCUGAUAGAUCUACAUUUGGGCAGACAAUGGAUCAAUCCACAGAAAUGUCCCAGAGGAGCACACUUAAAGACCAAACAGCUGAGUUAUUCCGCACCACUUGGAACACUUUCGUUCACCCAACGAAGAUCUCCUCCACCUCCCAAUUCACAAGCACCACUGGAGAUGUUGGAACCAUGAGCUCUGAUAGUUUAAUGACAAACCUUCCCGGCUUAGUGACAUCUGGGGGACCCACUUCCACACCUGCCAAACCAACUUCAUCCUGGCUUUCAUCUCAAAAGUCAUCCAGUUUGCGAACAUUUCCAACUUCCUCAUCCCUCUUUGGUUCUCUCCCUGCCACUCAGACCGUGAAUAAAUCGCUUCCUUAUUUGAAAACGGAAGUGACUGAAAGAGCAACCUUCUCUUCAUCCAGCUCCUCCCAUGACAGUGUGACACCAGAACAGGCAAGAGGUCAGUUGUCAACAUCAACCUCUUCCACCUACCUAUCCAGCUCUAGUCUUCCAACUGAGAAAACAACAGAAACAUCAUUUCCUCAUUUCAGUACUGAUAUGGCCCAGGCAGCAAUCUUAGCUUUAACUACAGCCUCCCAAGUCAACAUAACCACAGAAUCAACCACUGAUCAAUUGGCAACAGGCACUUUUCAGAUAUCUUCUCAAACCCCAUCCAGUUCUGGCCAUACAACUGAAUCAAAAACAGCAAUAUCAUCUCCACACAUCAGUCUUGUCACCAAAGUACACACAGCUCCAACCCCUGUUUCCGGCAUAAGGUCCUCUGAGAGCUCUACAGUUGGAGAGACAAUGGGUCUAUCUACAGAGGUGUCCCAAAGAACCCCACCUAAACAAAUGACAACUGAAUCAUUCCACACUAUUCGCAGCACUUUGGCUGACACUAUCAUGGAGUCUACUAGCUCUUCAUUCACUCAAUCUACUGGUAAAGCUAGGACCAUGACCUUGAAUCCUGUUACGAACACCCUGAACUCGGUCACAUCAAUGGAAAGCACCUUCUCAUCCUCUCAGUCAGCUUCUUCUGAGGCAUCAUCUCGAGGAGUUCCUACAAGGGGAAUAUCUCACUCAUCUUCUUUACCUUCCAGUUCAAGUCACGUAACUGAGACAACAGACAAACCAUCUCCUUAUUUCAAUACUGCUAUCACACUAGUAGCAACCUCAACUUCAAUAACAACUUCUGAUAUCAUCAAAACCGCAGAGAAGACAACAGGUCAUUUGGAAACAGGUUUCACCCUGACCUCUUCUGUAUCUCCCUCAAGUCGUAGCCAAAUGACUGAAACUAAAACAGAAACAGCUUUACCUUCCAUGACCAGUGUUUCAGAUACCAUCUCCUCUAAGAGCUCUGCAGCAGGCCAGACAAUGGGUCAGCCCAUGGAAUCCCAAAGGAGCACUCCUUCAGACCAAAGACCUGAAUCAUUCCACACUGCUCAGGGCACUUUGGCUCACCCCACAAAAGGCUCCUCUACCCUGCUUUUCUCAAGGCCGCCUGGAGAUGUUGGAACCAUGAGCUCCAAUGCUCAAAUGACAAACACCCUUAGUUUAGUCACAACGAUCAGUACCACCUCCUCAUCCACCAAACCUGCCUCAAUCGGGAUUUCAUCUCGACCGCCUCCCAGUUUGGGAAGCUCCUUAACGUCAUCCACAUCCCCCUCCAGUUCUACCCCUAGUUUAACAGUAACCUCACCUCUUUAUUUGAGUAGUCAAAUCCCCCAACGAACAAUCUCCACUUCCACCCGUACCUCCAACGACAGCAUCACACAUGAGCAGACAUCAGGUCAGUUGACAACAGGUAUUUCCUCAACCUCCUCCACCACCCCAACCGGUUCUAAUCUCAAAAUUGAGACAGCAUCAGAUACCUCAUCUCCAUACACCAUCCUCACCACCAGGAAACAUGCAACAAGUAGAAGUCCUAUUUCAGCCACUGCUUUCUCUGAGAUCUCCACAGUGAGACAGGAAACAGAUCAAUCUACAGACAUCUCCCAAAGAACCUCAUCUAGAGAAACAACCUCUGAAUCAUUCCAGACGACUCAGAGGACUUUGACUGUCACCUCCAUGGACUCUACCAGCUCUUCAUUCACUCAGUCCCAUGGCAAAGCAGAGAUCAUGAGCUCAGAUGCUGUUGUUACAAACACCCUCAAAUCAGUCAUAACUUCCUCUGUCCCUCAAUCCACUUCUGAGGAUGGAGCCUCAUCCUCCCCUUCUAUAUCUUCCAGUUCAACUCACAUAACUGAAACAACAGGCUCACAGUCUUCCCCCUUUGGUGCUGAUAUCACACUAGCAGCAUCCUCAUCAUCAAUUACAACUUCUGUUGCCAUUCCAACUGCAGAACGAACAACAAAUCAGUUGAAAGUAGGUGCUACCUCAACCUCUAUUGAAUCCCCUCUGAGUUUUAGACCAACAACUGAAACAAAAACAGAAAUAUCAUCUGCAUACAUUGACCUUGUCACCAGUGUACCCUCAACUACAACUGUUGUUCCAGACACCAUCUCCUCUGAAAGAUCUACAGUUGGACAGACAAUUGAUCAAUUCUCAGAAAUCUCCCAAAAGACUACUCUUAAAGAACAAAUAGCUGAUUCAUUCCACACUGCUCAGAGCACUUUGACUCAAUACAUGAAAGACUCCUCCACUUCCCAAUUUCACCUCCCUGGAGAUAUUGGAACCAUGAGCUCCGACAUUCUAACGACAAACACCCUCAACAUAGUCACUACUGAGGAACCCAACUUCUCACCGUCUCCAUCCACUUCUUCUGCCGUCUCACCUCAAGAAACUGCGGCACUGCCUAGUUCUAGUUCCAUGACUGAGACCACAACAAGCACAAAAGUACCUCCUUAUUCCAGUACUGAUAUCAUGCAGGCAUCGAUCUUACCUUUACCUAUAGCCUCCCAUGUCAAUACAACCACAGAAUCAACCACUGAUCAGAUGGCAACUAGUACCUUCCCAGUGUCCUCACAAUUCCCCUCCAGUUCUGGCUCAACGACUGAGACAAAAACAAAACUGUCAUCUCCGUAUCUCAGCCACGUCCCCAGUACACACACAACUGCAAACCUUCUCUCAGACACCACCUCCUCUGAGAGCUCUACAGUUAGGCAGACCAUGAGUCAAACUACAGAAAUCCAGAGGAGCCCAUCUAAAGACAGAACAGCUAAAUCAUUCCUCACCACUCAGCGCACUUUGGCUCACCCCACAAUGGAUUCCUCCACUUCCCAUUUCAUAAGCACCCUGGGAGAAGUUGGAACUAUGAGCUCCGAUACUCUGACAAAAACCCUCAGCUUAGCCCAGUCAGAGGGCCCCACCUCCUCACCCACCAAACUCUCUUCAUCUUGGAUUUCAUCUCCCCAAACAUCCAGUUUGGGAACCUCCUCAACUUCUUUCAUAUCCCCUUCUGGUUCUCUUCCUAUCACUCAGACGAUGGAAGCAUCAUCUUCUUAUUCGAGAACUCCGAUCACUCAAGGAGCAAUCUUCACCUCAGGCAGCACCUCUCAUGACAGCAUCAAAACUGGUCAGGCAACAGAUCAGGUGACAACCCCAUCACCUUCCUCCUUUGGCAUUCAUCUCACAACUGAGACAGUGGCAGAAACAUCAUCUCCAAAAACCAUCCUUGUCACAGAUACUCUGCCAAUCACCAAAAUGGACUCUUCUACCUCACCGGUCCCUCGGGGCACAAUCUCAGAUGCUAUUAUCACAAAAACUCUCAACUCAGUCAGAGGAUCCAGAUCUGCCAUCCCACCCACUAAAUACAGCUCCACUUUAAUUUCAACCCAACAGUUGUCUACCCUGGUUACUUCUGAAAUCCCUUACUUAUCCAACUCCGGUUCUAGCUACACAACUAAUACAACAAUGGUCACAGUUUCUCCUUAUUUCAAUAUAACACCUGAAACAACCACAACUUCCCAUGACAUCACCAAUAUGGAGGGGACAACGGGUCCCUUAACUAAGAGUGCCUCUUCUGUCUCUUCAACAUCUUCCAGUUUUAGCCACAAAACUAAGAUCACAACUGAAUCGUCAUCCCCCUUUACCAUUUUUAUUGCCAAUAUGCAUACGACGAAUGCAACCCCUGUUUCGGGUACUCCCUCCCCUCAGAUCUCUACAGUUGGACAGAAGACAGGUCAAUCCACAGAAAUUUUCCAAAGGACCACCCCUACAGAAACAACAACUAGAACAUCAUUCCCCACCCAGAAGACUUUGGCUGGCAUCACAAUGGGCAAAUCUACCACCCCAUUUGCCAGAACACCAGGAGAUGUUUUGAACACCAGCUCAGAAGCUGCUGUGACAGCCAUCCUCCGCUCAUUCACGACAGCCCGAUCCACUAAGCCCACCUCAUCCAGGGUCUCAGCUCAACAUGACUCCUCAUUAGGUAUGACUUCGACCUUCACCGAAACACCUUUGAGUUCAAGUCACACAACGGAGACACCUUUAGAAACAUCAUCUCUGUUCACCAGCCUUGUCACCAAUGCACACACAGCAACUACAACCCCUGUUUCGGUCACCAUCCCCUUCGAGAGCUCUACAGCCGGACAGACAACAGGUCGAUCCACAGAAAUUCCCCAAAGAACUACAGAUGAAGAAGCAAAAGUCAAAAGUUUACUCACCACUCAGAGCAUAUGGAUUCACACCCCUUUGGACUCCACCUCCCCAUUCCCAAGGGUCACUGUUAAACCCACCUCCUCGCCCAAGGAAAUUACCUCCUCUGAGGUUUCAUUUCAACAAGCUUCAUCAAGAGGUACCUCCUCCACAUCUUCCACAACCUCCCCCCAUUCUAGACACACAACUGAGACAAGGACGGACACAUCUCAUCUCAGGACAGUGUCAUCUUCGACUUCCAUUUCCCAUGAAGGCACUGCAGCAGAGCAGACAAGUCAGUUGGCAAGCAGUACCUUUUCAACUCCUUCUACAUUCCCCUACCGUGAGAACCUCACAACCAAAUCCACGACAAAGAAAUCACUUCCAUACACCAGCAGUGGUAACCAAAUGUUCACAAUGGUUCCAUCUCUCACUUUCAGCAUCACCUCCUCUGAGAUUUCUUCAGGUGGUCAGGCAAGCACUCAACCCACUGAAAUCUUGCUCAGGACGACAGCUAGGGACAGCACAGCCAAAUUGCUAAAUACCACUCAGAGCACCUCCUCUGCCACCACAGUGGCAUCAUCUAGGUUCCCGUACACUCAAAUCACUGGCAUUGCUGGGAAUCUAACAAACUCCUUCAGCACAAUGGCAACAGUGCUACCAACCUCAUCAGCCACUCAACCCCCCUCAACUAGAGUUUCAGCUCAACCGACACCCACGUUCAGGACCACACCAACCUCUUCCAUAUUCCUUUCUGAUUCUAGCCACACAACCGGGACAACAACAGGAAAAUAUACUAAUUUCAGAACUGAUAUCACACAGGGAGCAAGUUCUGCUUCAACCCUGCCCUUCCAUCAUGUCACCUCAGAGAAGUGGGGAACAGAUCGGUUGGCAACAGUUACCCCCUCAAGUUCCCUUAUAUCCCCACGUGGCAAGAGCCCCACAACUGAAUCCAAAACAGAAACAUCAUCUUCAUACUCCUCCAACAUUAUCACUAAUAUGUACACAAAAAGGACAAACCCCAUUUCAGGCACUACCUCUUCAGAGAGUUCUACUGGUGGACAAACAAUGGGUAUCUCCGCAGAAACCUUCCACAGGACCACUCCUAAAGAAGCAACAUCCAAAUCAUUGUUCACCACUCGGACAACUUUGGCUGACAACACAGUGGACUCCGGAGAAGCUCAGACCAUGAGUUCAAGUGGUGCCCUGGUAAACAUCUCCACCUCAGCUGUGACAGUGCAUACUUCCUCCUCUGAGAUUUUAUCUCAUCUGAUGUCUACUUUGGGUACCUUCUUAACUUCUUCCACAUCCACCUCCAGUAUUAGACAUAUGACUGAGACAGCAAGAAAAUCAUCUCCCUACACCACUCUUAUCACCAGUGUAUAUGCAACAAGUACAAAGCCUGUUUCAGAUGCCAUUUCCUCGACAAUCCCCACUGUUGGACUGACAGCAGAUCAGUCCAUAGAAACAUCCCACAUGACCACUCCUGAAAAAACAGUGGGCAUAUCACUAAAUACCACUCAGCGCUCUCUGGCUGACUCCACAGUGGACUCCACCACCUCUCUAUUUACCCAAAACACUGGAGAAACCAGAACCACUAACUCAGAUGCCACUGGGAGAACCUUCCUCAACUCAGUCAUGACAAUGGAUCACACCUCCUCCAUCACUGAAUCCACCUCAUCUGGAAUUUCAUUUCAGCCAACGUCCUUUAUGGGUACCACCUCAACCUCUUCCACUUCUCUCUCCAUUUCUAAUCACAAAACUGAAACAACAAUAGGCACAAUACCGUCUUAUGUCGAUACGGACGACAGACUCAAAGCAACCUCAUUUUCAACCUCAACCUCCAAUGACAUUACCCAGGUGAUGAAAGCAACAAGUCAGUCAACAACUGGCACCUCCUUAACAUCAUUUUCAUCUACUUAUGACAACAUAUUCACAAAGGAAAACAUAACUGAGACAUCAUCCCCCUUGACUGGCCUUGACAACAAUGUGAGCCCAAUGACCUCCUCUGAAACCUUUUCGAUGGGACAAAAAACUAGCCAAUCGCCUGAAGUAUCCCUCAGGAACACAACCAUAGAAAAAACAGCUGAAUCAUUACAAACUACCAAGGAUACAUUAUCUGAUACCACAAUGGUCUCCUCUUCCUCCUCCUUCACCUGGACAACUGGAGAAGCCCAAACCAACAGUUUGGGUGCUGCUGGGACAAAUGCCCUCAGUUCAGUCACCAUAACAGGACCCAUCUCUUCAGCCCCCGAUGUCACCUCACCUAGAGCUUCGUCUCAACAAGGGUCUACUUUAGGUAUCCUCACUACUCCUUCAGUGUCUUCCCCCAGUCUCAGUUACACAACUGAGGUAACAAUAACCCCAUCAGCAACUUAUCUCAGUACUGAGAACAAACAAGAACCAACUUCAGCAUCAGGCACCAUUUCCCAUGACAUCACCACUUCAGAACUGAUAACGGGUCAUUUGAUCCCAGUUACCGACUCUCCCACUUCCUCCCCCAUUUCUAGACACCUAACUGAUACAACAGUAGAAAUGUUGUCUCAGCCCAUCAGCGUUGUCACCAAUAGGCAAGCAACAGGUGUCACCCCCAUUGUUGGCCCCACUUCCUCUGAGAUUUUAACAACUGGCCAGAUGAUGGAUUCAUCAACUGAAAUGUCCCUUGGGACCACACCUAAAGAAAUCACAGCUGAAUCAUUAAACACUAUCACCUCCCCAUCCACUUGGGGCACUGGAGAAGCCAAGAUUACAAGCUCACGCUUUGCUUUGACAAAUGCUGUCAGCUCAGACACCACAGCAGCACUCGUCUCUUCACCCACUGAACCCACCUCAUUUGGGAUUUCAUCUAAAGAAGCACUUACUUUGGAUAGUUCUGUUAUUUCUACUUUCCCCUCAAGUUCUAGCUACAAAACUGACACUCCAACAACUACAACAUCUCCUUUCAGUACUCUUGUCCCCCAAACAGUAACCUCAGUUUCAUCUACCAUCUCCCAAGAUACUUCCUCUUUUGGGGGGACCACAGGGAAAAUACCACAACUGUCCUACCAGACCAGAGCCCAGGGCCCAACAUCACAAAUAUCCACCAUUCCUCAUCGCACCCUUGCUGUCACAGCAAUUCCUUUGUCCUCUUCCUCAUUCCAAGAGACCACUCAAGAAAGCCCGACUCAGGUCCCGAUCUCAAAUUCAACUGACAACACCACCAUGGUUAUUCCUUUCAUUUCCACCUCUUUAAGCAAUACAGCUUCCUUUUCUGAGAUCACAUCUCAACAGUUUUCCACUUUGGAUACCUUCUCAGCUGCUUCCACCGCCACUUCCAGUAACAGUCCUAGUUCUGAGCCAAUGAAAGGGACAUCACCAAUUUACAACAGUCACAUCACCAAUGUUCGUACAACUGGAGCAAAUCCUGUAACCGUCCCUGUAUCCCCUGAGGUCAGUCCGUCAAGACCAGAGUCAACAGACAUCUCCUUCAGGACCACAGCUCUAGAAACAACAGGAGAAACAUUAGGAACAACCCAAAGAACUUUGGAUUCCAUCACAGCGAAACCCUCCAACUCUCAGUUCACUGCAGUCUCUGAAGGAGCUGUAAUUAUGGGCACAGACUCACCAGUGACAACCUCAAGAUCUACAACAACAACUUCAGCUCCCAUCUCUUCCUUCACUGAAUCCACGGCAGGCCUCUCCUCCUUCCCAUUCCCUAAGACCACCGGGAAAGCUGUCCCCGUGAGGACGGAGUCAACUGUGACCGACACCUUCAUGAAAGUCACAACAUCAGGUUCCAUCUCCUCACCUGCCAGACCCACCUCAUCUGGAUUUCCCAUUCAACAAUUAUCUACUUCAGCUACCAGAUUAUCUUCUGGGGUCAGCCUCACGACUGAGCCUACAGUAAACAUUUCAUCACUCUUAACCAAUCCUGUCACUAGUAUGGAAGCAAGAGGAUCAACCUCAAUAGUAUCUCUCACCACCUCCUCUGGCAUCAGUCCGUCAUCUGCAAAGUCCGUAAGCCAGCAGACAGAAAUCUCCUACAGCACUUCAGCCCAAGAAAGCACAGCAACUACAAACACACUGUCAAAAACGGCAACAGAAUCCCCUUCCACUAUAUCAGGAAACACCGGACAAGCCCCAUCUAAGGGAACAUCUCUGGUGAGGUCUCCAGGCACCCUUGGCGACACACCUGGUUCAAUGGAGACUCAACCACCUCCACUGGCCUCUUCCAUUUCAGGCAGCACGGAGAACCUAGGGUCCACCUCUCAUCCAGCCACAAGCUCCUCCUUCGCAAUGACCACUACCACUCCCAGACCCCUUUCUGUGAGCAUCAACCCAGAAUGGGCCACAACAAGCAGACCAACAUCAGACAUUGAUUCUAGCCCCUCCCCACAGUUCUCUGGUACCCCACCUACUGAACCCACUUCCAACUUGAGUCAGUCUCUUCCACCGACAAAUUAUGCAACAACGCCCCCCAUUUUGAGCACUUCACCAACAGGUAUUCUCCAGAUCAGCACAACAAUCCCUUCAACCCCAGAGAACAUUCCAAUAUCUGCUAAUACCACUGGUUGGACUGAGGGUAUCACUCCAGGUAGGUGGGAUCUGGCUGGUCUCUGAGCAUGUGAGUUACACAACCCCUGUCUGGUUUAUUCUGUCUGGUUUAUUAGAGAAGCAGCAUGGCUCAGUGGAAAGAGCACGGGCUUUGGAGUCAGAGGUCAUGAGUUCGAAUCCCAGCUCUGCCACUUGUCAGCUGUGUGACUGUGGGCAAGUCACUUCACUUCCCUGGGCCUCAGUUACCCCAUCUGUAAAAUGGGGAUGAAGACUGUGAGCCCCAUGAGGGACAGCCUGAUCACCUUGUAUCCCCCCCAGCGCUUAGAACAGUGCUCUGCACAUAGUAAGCGCUUAACAAAUACCAACAUUAUUAUUAUUAUUAUUCUACUGAGCCAACUCAGGCAUGUUCUCACUCUAUAAACCCACUGGUCUUUGGAGGAAAGGCUGAGGAUUGCAGGAAGGCCUGAGAUAGAUGUGGAAGGAUUCAUCAAUAGCUAGAACCACAGGGUGGAGAAGCAGUGUGGCCAGCUGCUGUUUGACCUUGAGCAGGUCACUUAACUUCUCUGUGCCUCAGUUACUUCAUCUAUAGAAUGGGGACUAAGACUGUGAACCCCAAGUGGGACAUGGAUUGUGUCCCACCUGAUUAUAUUGAAUCUACCCCAGCACUUAGAACACGUAGCACAGAGCCAUCUGUGAACUUGGAUGUGAACACUUUGGGGAUUAGAUAUUCACCCCAGCCUCAGCUCCAUAGCACUUAUGUACAUGCCAUUAAAUAAUUAAUUUAUAUAUAUAUUAAUGUGUUUCUCCUCCUCUAAACUCUAAGUUCCUUGUGGUCAGGGAACGUGUCUACCAACUUUGUUGUACUCUCCCAAGAACUUAGGAUUCUGCGCCCAGUAAGCAUUCCAUAAAUAAAAUUGAUUGAUUGAUAGAUUGAUAGGAAGAAAAGUCAAGGGAGACUGAAGGAUCAGUUUUCCUUGAGGACUAUCAAUACCUUUGAGAUGAGUGAGAGGCAGUUCAGUCUGUAGAUAGAAAGUUGGACAAAGUAAAGAUCCUGGAUUGAGGAUCCUCAUC
This 11322-nucleotide long non-coding RNA is filed under the name Ornithorhynchus anatinus (platypus). RNAcentral's name for it is "lncRNA (ENSOANG00000039446.1)". Lineage: Eukaryota; Metazoa; Chordata; Mammalia; Monotremata; Ornithorhynchidae. The record is from RNAcentral.